RNAcentral lists this long non-coding RNA (415 nucleotides) under Numida meleagris (helmeted guineafowl). RNAcentral describes it as "lncRNA (ENSNMEG00000008222.1)". Lineage: Eukaryota; Metazoa; Chordata; Aves; Galliformes; Numididae. The record is from RNAcentral.
UUGGCACUUCCAAAACUUUUGUCUACUGCAGCUGGAUGUCAAAUGGCUGGAUUCUUUCCUUUUACAGCUUCACAGAAUGGAAGUGGAGGCAUAGCUGGGAGUCUCCAGAGAGGAGUGACUUCAUUCCUACCUUGCCUUGUCAUGGAAAACAAAGGAAAGUGGACAAAAGGAUAAAUACUGCUGAAGUGCUUGAUCCAGGACAAAAUCUGAAGCUGGAAUAGAAGUGAUCCACCUCAGACUUUGUUGAAGGAACAUAGAAUCAUGGAAUGGCUGAGGUUGGGAGAGGCAGCUGGAGGAAUUCUCGUUCAACCUGCUCCUUGUCAAGCAAGAACACCAAAAAACAGGUGAGCAGGGUCAUGUCUCAGUCUUCCUGAUUAUUAUUUUAUUUAACAGAACUUGCUUUCCUUAGUUUCUG